RNAcentral lists this long non-coding RNA (1149 nucleotides) under Helianthus annuus (common sunflower). The record is from RNAcentral. Lineage: Eukaryota; Viridiplantae; Streptophyta; Magnoliopsida; Asterales; Asteraceae.
UCUGUAACUGAGUGGCCUGAGUCUGUUAUAAUCCUCCUGACCUGCAGUAUCCCAAAGGCCGAGACCGGGCACUGAAAUUAUCAAAGACUGUGAGCACAUAAUUCUACACACAAAAGAAAACAAUUUGCCUGUACAACAAAGUCAUAGAAGACAAUUUGCUUGGAGGACCACUUCCUCGAAAUCUUGGCCGUUUGUCCCACAUGAGAAGAUUCCUUGCUUCUGCAAAUAACUUUACAGGAACCAUACAAGAAUCGUAUGGCAGACUGAACUAUUUAGAAGGCUUAUUGCAAAGCUACAGGAUGACAAAAAAGUGUUAAGACUGUUUGACCAAGUCAAAAGAGGCUGUUUUACUUGAAGCCGAGAGGACCAUGCAACUUACAUUGGUCAAGGCAUCCAUGGUAGAUGAUCUCUAGAAUAAGAAUCAGGAAUUGAUGAAGCAAAUAGAAUUUUGCCAGGAGGAAAAUCAAAUAUUGGAUAAAAUGCAUCAUCAAAAAGUUGAUGAGGUGGAAAAGCUUACACAAACUGUACACGAGCUUGAAGAAGCUGUUCUUGCUGGUGGCGCAGCUGCAAACGCGUUCGGGACUAUCAACAGAAAGUUCAAGAAAUGAAUUUAUCAGUAGGAGGAAAAAAGACUCUAGACAGAGAGCUAGCGCAUGCAAAAGUUACAGCCAAUAGAGUGGCAACAGUUGUAGCUAACGAUUGGAAAGAUUCUAAUGAUAAGAUGAUGCCAGUUAAACAAUGGCUCAAAGAAAGACGGUUCUUGCAGGUAUAGUCUUCUAUAAUUCCAUAAACGUAUUGUUUAUAGUAAGGUAUACGGAUGGACCCUGUGCUUUCCAAAGGUACACAGAUGGUCCCCGACGGUUUCCAAAAGUACAAGGAUGGUCCCUUAGAUUUACACUUUGUACGAAAUGCAAGCUACAACACAGGAGGCACUGAACAUAAUGGAGGAAAAGCUUCGAAGAUUGAGGAUGAGACAAGCAAAUGUAGAGUCCAUGAUCCAAAACCAGAAUCCACUUCAGAAACUUCUUUGUCUGUAUCGAAUUCUGGUUUGAUUCGAAAAUUCUUAGAUCUGUAUUUCGAAUUCUUAGAUUUGUUUUUUGAAUGUUUUUUGGUUUAUACUAAUAGGAAACCUCUGUUGGAAACCUCAUU